RNAcentral lists this ribosomal RNA (223 nucleotides) under uncultured Rhodobacterales bacterium. RNAcentral describes it as "partial 16S ribosomal RNA". It matches the Rfam family "Bacterial small subunit ribosomal RNA", at positions 1138 to 1382 of the family's 1533-position model. The record is from RNAcentral. Lineage: Bacteria; Pseudomonadati; Pseudomonadota; Alphaproteobacteria; Rhodobacterales.
CUCUAGAGAAACUGCCGGUGCUAAGCCGGAGGAAGGUGGGGAUGACGUCAAGUCCUCAUGGCCCUUACGGGUAGGGCUACACACGUGCUACAAUGGCGCUGACAGAGGGUUAAUCCCUAAAAGGCGUCUCAGUUCGGAUUGUCUUCUGCAACUCGAAGGCAUGAAGUUGGAAUCGCUAGUAAUCGUGGAUCAGCAUGCCACGGUGAAUACGUUCCCGGGCCUU